This 806-nucleotide ribosomal RNA is filed under the name Bdelloidea sp. MS-2017. Its description in RNAcentral is "SSU rRNA". It matches the Rfam family "Eukaryotic small subunit ribosomal RNA", at positions 412 to 1227 of the family's 1831-position model. Lineage: Eukaryota; Metazoa; Rotifera; Eurotatoria. The record is from RNAcentral.
ACAUCCAAGGAAGGCAGCAGGCGCGCAAAUUACCCACUCUCAAAACGAGGAGGUAGUGAAGAGAAAUAACGAUGUUAGUCUAUUAUAGGCUGACAAUCGGAAUGGGAACACUGUAAACAGGUUAUCGAUUAACAAUUGGAGGGCAAGUCUGGUGCCAGCAGCCGCGGUAAUUCCAGCUCCAAUAAGGAAAACUAAAGUUGCUGUGUUUAAAAAGCUCGUAGUUGAAUUUCGGGUAUUUGUUGCUAGCUGGUCUCACUGGCCAUGUUGGUUAACAGAUCCUCAUUUGCUGGACGGCUGGCGAUGAUCUUUAUCGAUUGUCGUCAGUUGCCAGAACGUUUACUUUGAGAAAAUUAGAGUGCUAAAAGCAGGCUCACGCCUAUAUAUAUUGCAUGGAAUAAUGAAAUAAGAUCUCGAUUUUAUUUCGUUGGUUUUAGAAAUUGAGAUAAUGAUUAAUAGGAUCAGAGGGGGGCGUACGUACUGUGGUGUGAGAGGUGAAAUUCUUGGAUCGCCACAGGACGAACAGCAGCGAAGGCGUUCGCCAAGAAUGUUUUCAUUAAUCAAGAACGAAAGUUUGAGGUUCGAAGACGAUUAGAUACCGUCCUAGUUCAAACCAUAAACGUUGCCAACUGUCUUUUAGAUGCGGUUAUUUACAUGACUCAUCUGGCGGAUCUCGAGAAAUCUAAGUUUUUAGGUUCCGGGGGAAGUAUGGUUGCAAAGCUGAAACUUAAAAGAAUUGACGGAAGGACACACAGAAGUGGAGCCUGUGGCCUAAUUUGACUCAACACGGGAAACCUUACUCGGCCAGG